RNAcentral lists this ribosomal RNA (253 nucleotides) under uncultured bacterium. RNAcentral's name for it is "partial 16S ribosomal RNA". It matches the Rfam family "Bacterial small subunit ribosomal RNA", at positions 524 to 776 of the family's 1533-position model. The record is from RNAcentral.
UACGGAGGGUGCAGGCGGUACUCGGAAUCACUGGGCGUAAAGGGCGCGUAGGCGGCCUAGCAAGUCUGGUGUGAAAGCCCAGGGCUCAACCCUGGAAGGGCACUGGAAACUGUUAGGCUUGAGUUCCGGAGAGGAGGGGGGAAUUCCCGGUGUAGCGGUGAAAUGCGUAGAUAUCGGGAGGAAUACCGGUGGCGAAGGCGCCCCUCUGGACGGAAACUGACGCUGAGGCGCUAAAGCGUGGGGAGCAAACAGG